Molecule: ribosomal RNA, 433 nt
Filed under: uncultured bacterium
Lineage: Bacteria
Description: partial 16S ribosomal RNA
Rfam family: Bacterial small subunit ribosomal RNA
Source: RNAcentral
AACGAACGCUGGCGGCAUGCCUAACACAUGCAAGUCGAACGAAACCUUCGGGCCUUUGGGCGCACGGGUGCGUACCACCUGGGAACCUGCCCGUAGGUUCGCAAUACCUCCCCGAAGGGGGUGCUAAUACCGGUGAAUGUAUUCGGACCAAGGAUUUAUCGCCUUUGGAUGGGGCCGCGUUGGAUUCGCUAGUUGGUAGGGGAAAAGCAUGCCAAGGGGACGAUCCAUAGCUGGUCUGAGAGGAUGAUCAGCCACACUGGGACUGAGACACGGCCCAGACUGGUACGGGAGGCAGCAGUGGGGAAUAUUGGACAAGGGGCGCAAGCCUGAUCCAGCAACGCGGCGUGAGUGAUGAAGGGCUUAGGGUUGUAAAGCUCUUUUAGCCGGGAUGAGAAUGACAGUACCGGGAGAAGAAGCUCCGGCUAACUACGUG